AUUGAACGCUGGCGGCAGGCCUAACACAUGCAAGUAGAGCGGAUGAAGGGAGCUUGCUCCUGGAUUCAGCGGCGGACGGGUGGGUAAUGCCUAGGAAUCUGCCUGGUAGUGGGGGAUAACGUCCGGAAACGGGCGCUAAUACCGCAUACGUCCUGAGGGAGAAAGUGGGGGAUCUUCGGACCUCACGCUAUCAGAUGAGCCUAGGUCGGAUUAGCUAGUUGGUGGGGUAAAGGCCUACCAAGGCGACGAUCCGUAACUGGUCUGAGAGGAUGAUCAGUCACACUGGAACUGAGACAGGGCCCAGACCCCUACGGGAGGCAGCAGUGGGGAAUAUUGGACAAUGGGCGAAAGCCGAUCCAGCCAUGCCGCGUGUGUGAAGAAGGUCUUCGGAUUGUAAAGCACUUUAAGUUGGGAGGAAGGGCAGUAAGUUAAUACCUUGCUGUUUUGACGUUACCAACAGAAUAAGCACCGGCUAACUUCGUG
Molecule: ribosomal RNA, 483 nt
Filed under: uncultured bacterium
Lineage: Bacteria
Description: partial 16S ribosomal RNA
Rfam family: Bacterial small subunit ribosomal RNA
Source: RNAcentral